This is a long non-coding RNA of Panonychus citri (citrus red mite), 519 nucleotides long. RefSeq lists it as uncharacterized. The record is from RefSeq and is a predicted model, not a curated record. The transcript has 3 exons. NCBI's taxonomy places the organism in Eukaryota, Metazoa, Arthropoda, Arachnida, Trombidiformes, Tetranychidae.
CCUUGCAAAUUGUAUCAAUAUGAUUUGUCGUAUAAUUUUCAGCUUCAAAUUCAUCAUCGAAUGCGUACUAAGUCAAAAACAAGAGAACCCGCUGGUGGGAAUUUUCCACACCGCAAAGUUCUUGCCGCAAGCGGUAUUAUUUUGGAUUAACUCGAUUAUCAGAGACAACUUUAUGCUGUUCCAAUUGGACUGACUCGAUAAUCCAUGUAAUCUUUGGUGGAUUACUUUUCUUUUUAAUCUCAAUCAUAAUCUAUUGUAAUGAACCGAAUGCCAUUGCAAUGAUGGAUCAAAUCCCUUUAUUUAAGAUACUUUUUAAAUUCAUCAAGCCCAAAAAACUCAAAAAACAAUAAAUCACUAAUUAAGUAUUUUCAAAAAAGUUAUCAAUCCAUCAACUUAACAAUUGCUCAGAAAUCCCUUGAUCAUAUUUGAUUAUUAUGCUUGAGCAAUUUGAGACUAAACCUGAGAUCAGUCCAUUGAUUGGAUGUGAUUAAAUUACUUUGAAACUAUUGGUUAUCAAAA